RNAcentral lists this ribosomal RNA (253 nucleotides) under uncultured bacterium. RNAcentral describes it as "partial 16S ribosomal RNA". It matches the Rfam family "Bacterial small subunit ribosomal RNA", at positions 524 to 776 of the family's 1533-position model. The record is from RNAcentral.
UACAGAGGGGGCAAGCGUUGUUCGGAAUUACUGGGCGUAAAGGGCGCGUAGGCGGCCUGUUAAGUCGAACGUGAAAUCCCCGGGCUCAACCCGGGAACUGCGUCCGAUACUGGCAGGCUUGAGUUCGGCAGGGGAGACUGGAAUUCCUGGUGUAGCGGUGAAAUGCGCAGAUAUCAGGAAGAACACCCGUGGCGAAGGCGGCUCUCUGGGACGGUACUGACGCUGAGACGCGAAAGCGUGGGGAGCGAACAGG